GCAGCGAGGUAUGCCAAGCCGGGCUGCAGCCACUGCUGCUCCGUGCUUGGGACAGCUCCCUCCCGGCCGGAAGGGGCUUUAUUCAGCCACUGGCCCAAGCACAGAACAGCGGCAGCUGCAGCCUGGCCGGGCUCUGGCGCCAGCAACUGAAUAAGCCCCUUCCUCCCAGGAGGGGGCUUGCCCCGAGCACAGAACAGUGGCGGGGCCGAGCCCGGCCCCACUCAGCAGCUGGAGCAGCGACCGGGGGCUGAAGAGGACAAAACUAGUUCCCAUUACAAAAGAGUGACAGAAACUCUGUAAGAAAAACCUCAUAUUCCCUUGCCCGGAGCCACUUUUCACAGGGACCAGGACUCCCUGAUGAAGAUUCCAGACGGACUCAGAAGAAACGCCGCCAGGCCUAUGGUCAGGGUGGGAGGACCGGGUUAGAGAGCUUCUGGAGGGGCUGGACAUGUUCAGAUCAGCAGGUCCAGAUGCUCUUCACCGCAGGGUGUUGAGGGAAUUGGCAGGGGUUAUCGAGGGGCCCCUGGCACGGCUUU
Alligator sinensis (Chinese alligator) is the source of this 536-nucleotide long non-coding RNA. RefSeq lists it as uncharacterized. The record is from RefSeq and is a predicted model, not a curated record. The transcript has 3 exons. NCBI's taxonomy places the organism in Eukaryota, Metazoa, Chordata, Crocodylia, Alligatoridae.